This 138-nucleotide ribosomal RNA is filed under the name uncultured eukaryote. Its description in RNAcentral is "partial 18S ribosomal RNA". It matches the Rfam family "Eukaryotic small subunit ribosomal RNA", at positions 1299 to 1458 of the family's 1831-position model. The record is from RNAcentral.
UGGUGGGUUGCCUUGUCAGGUUGAUUCCGGUAACGAACGAGACCUCAGCCUGCUAAAUAGUCAACAUCGUCUUGGCGGUGUGCAGACUUCUUAGAGGGACUAUGGGCGUUUAGUCCAUGGAAGUAUGAGGCGAUAACA